ACGCUCGACACCUACGGGAAGCAGCAGUAGGGAAUCUUCCACAAUGGACGCAAGUCUGAUGGAGCAACGCCGCGUGAGUGAAGAAGGUCUUCGGAUCGUAAAACUCUGUUGUUAGAGAAGAACACGAGUGAGAGUAACUGUUCAUUCGAUGACGGUAUCUAACCAGCAAGUCACGGCUAACUACGUGCCAGUAGCCGCGGUAAUCUGAGCGGGCUGGCAAGGC
This 223-nucleotide ribosomal RNA is filed under the name uncultured bacterium. RNAcentral describes it as "partial 16S ribosomal RNA". It matches the Rfam family "Bacterial small subunit ribosomal RNA", at positions 326 to 539 of the family's 1533-position model. The record is from RNAcentral.